GGCGAGUGAAGCGGCAACAGCUCAAAUUUGAAAUCUGGCCCCCAGGGCCCGAGUUGUAAUUUGCAGAGGAUGCUUUUGGCGCGGUGCCUUCCGAGUUCCCUGGAACGGGACGCCAUAGAGGGUGAGAGCCCCGUCUGGUCGGACGCCUAGCCUGUGUAAAGCUCCUUCGACGAGUCGAGUAGUUUGGGAAUGCUGCUCUAAAUGGGAGGUAUAUGUCUUCUAAAGCUAAAUACCGGCCAGAGACCGAUAGCGCACAAGUAGAGUGAUCGAAAGAUGAAAAGCACUUUGAAAAGAGGGUUAAAUAGUACGUGAAAUUGUUGAAAGGGAAGCGCUUGUGACCAGACUUGGGCCCGGUGGAUCAUCCAGCGUUCUCGCUGGUGCACUCCGCCGGGUUCAGGCCAGCAUCAGUUCGCCGCGGGGGAAAAAGGCUUCGGGAACGUGGCUCCUACGGGAGUGUUAUAGCCCGUUGCAUAAUACCCUGGGGCGGACUGAGGUUCGCGCUCCGCAAGG
RNAcentral lists this ribosomal RNA (510 nucleotides) under Purpureocillium lilacinum. Its description in RNAcentral is "partial large subunit ribosomal RNA". It matches the Rfam family "Eukaryotic large subunit ribosomal RNA", at positions 88 to 609 of the family's 3401-position model. Lineage: Eukaryota; Fungi; Ascomycota; Sordariomycetes; Hypocreales; Ophiocordycipitaceae. The record is from RNAcentral.